AGAGUUUGAUCCUGGCUCAGAUUGAACGCUGGAGGCGUGCUUAACACAUGCAAGUCGUGCGAGAAAGGGACUUCGGUCCUGAGUAGAGCGGCGCACGGGUGAGUAACGCGUGGGUAAUCUCCCCUGGUGAUCGGGAUAACAGCGGGAAACUGCUGCUAAUACCGGAUAAUCUUCAUGUUUAACUUCAUGGGGUAAAGGUGGCCUCUGCUUGCAAGCUACCACAUCAGGAUGAGCCCGCGUCUCAUUAGCUAGUUGGUAGGGUAAUGGCCUACCAAGGCUACGAUGAGUAGCGGGUCUGAGAGGAUGAUCCGCCACACUGGCACUGGAACACGGGCCAGACUCCUACGGGAGGCAGCAGUGAGGAAUAUUGCGCAAUGGGGGCAACCCUGACGCAGCGACGCCGCGUGAGUGAGGAAGGCCUUCGGGUCGUAAAGCUCUGUCAAGAGGAAAGAAGUGCAUAAUGGUUAAUACCUGUUAUGUUUGACGGUACCUCUAAAGGAAGCACCGGCUAACUCCGUGCCAGCAGCCGCGGUAAUACGGAGGGUGCAAGCGUUGUUCGGAAUCACUGGGUGUAAAGGGCGCGCAGGCGGUAUGGUAAGUCAGAUGUGAAAGCCCACGGCUUAACCGUGGAAGGGCAUUUGAAACUGCCAGACUUGAGUACCAGAGGGGAAAGUGGAAUUCCCGGUGUAGAGGUGAAAUUCGUAGAUAUCGGGAGGAAUACCGGUGGCGAAGGCGACUUUCUGGCUGAGUACUGACGCUGAGGCGCGAAAGCGUGGGGAGCAAACAGGAUUAGAUACCCUGGUAGUCCACGCCGUAAACGAUGUCAACUAGAUGCAGGGGGUGUUGAUCCCCUCUGUGUCGCAGCUAACGCAUUAAGUUGACCGCCUGGGGAGUACGGUCGCAAGAUUAAAACUCAAAGGAAUUGACGGAU
RNAcentral lists this ribosomal RNA (931 nucleotides) under uncultured bacterium. RNAcentral's name for it is "bacterial SSU rRNA". It matches the Rfam family "Bacterial small subunit ribosomal RNA", at positions 8 to 918 of the family's 1533-position model. The record is from RNAcentral.